AAUAAGUGCAACAAUAUGGCGAUUGUCCUGCAUGCCACGUUCCGAUUGUAUUAGUUUUGGAUAUUGGAUAUUCUAUAUAUCAUUAAAAAUAAAUCUAAUAAAGAAGCUCAAGUACGGAUAUUAUAUCUAGAAGAAAAGGCUUAAAUAUCUAAUCUGGCAGUGAUUUUUCUGAUAUUGAAAAAUUAUAAACAUAAUUAUUGGCAAAAUUUUUAAACGAGAAAAAUGAAUGAUAGUGGAUUCAUAAUUGCUGAGUUUGAUGAUGGACUACAGUUAAUACCAACAAUAUGGUUCAAUGCGGAAAAACAAUCGUGUAUAUGGCCUGGCCAUUUUAAAACCAAAUUCCGCAUAAAUAAAGCAAUAAUAACAAAAAGAAAUACCACAGGAAGAAUUUGAUUGGGAUGAGUUACCAAUCAAGAGAAUCUUCGGCACAGCAGACACUUAUGAAAAAGGCAUGAAAAAAUUGGUCCUAGCACAGGAUACAUCUAAUAUAGAAAAUACUGAAAUCUCAUCUAACGAAUUAAAAGAAAUAAAGAAAAAAAGAAGGCGGAUUCAAGCAAAAAAAAAAAUGUCAUCCUCAGAAAUGUCAUCAUCAUCAGAAGAUUUUCUUUUGCAAGAGAAUAAAGAAAAUCGAAUGACGCAAAAUAAUAAAAUAUUGCCUGCUUUUCCACAAAUAGAACAUUUUGUGCCUAAUUAUAAAUCGCGAGAUAAAUGUAAAGAGAAUUUUGGUAAUGAAUUAUCCGAAAGAAAUUCUACUUAUAAUAGAAUAAAUAUAGUUCAUGAUGUCAACAAAAAAAUUGAUACAAAUAACCAAAGCAAUCUUAAACUAAAAAGAUGCUCUAUUCAAGAGAACACCAGCCAAGAAAAUACUUACUCUGAUGAUGAGGCCGCGAUGCAGGGACAAUAUACAGGGAGUGGAAUGAGAUUAAAUAUGCCGAGAUUCCGUAAUCGUUGCUUUAUUAGUAGACGGCACGAUGUGAGCGUGUCCACGGUACAAGACAAGACUGACGUGGUAGAGAAAACAUAUGUGACCAAAGGGACAUGUGUAACGAAAAGACAUGUGUGCGAAGGGCUUUACAUUUUGAGAUUGGUAGGUGGAAGUACUGCGCAUAUAAUGACACGCAAUAUAUUGAAAAAAAUUAUAACAAAUACUUUGGCUCAAGAUUUUAGCUGGGCAGGAAAAAAAACUAAACGUUGUUUCAAAGACUUAAGUCUCACAAAAAUAAUCAUACAAGCUGUCCGUACAAUGUAUGGUUCGGUUACAGACAAUGAGAUAGCGGAAUCUAUAUCAAAAUGGCUUACCCAAGCCAGUUUAAGAACUCAAAGAGAAAGACAACAGAAUACACAAACCGAGUUAAUGGAGUAAACAAUAAGACUGCUACAGAAAAUAAAAGUACAAAAUAAAAGAAAACUAAAAGUACAAAAUAAAAGAAAACUAAAAGUACAAAAUAAAAGAAAAAUAUAUUGUAAUAAUAUAUUAUAAAAACGUACAUGUUUACAUAUAUACAUAUAAGUAUUAUA
This is an RNA transcript of Camponotus floridanus (Florida carpenter ant), 1518 nucleotides long. RefSeq lists it as uncharacterized. Lineage: Eukaryota; Metazoa; Arthropoda; Insecta; Hymenoptera; Formicidae. The transcript has 9 exons. The record is from RefSeq and is a predicted model, not a curated record.